RNAcentral lists this ribosomal RNA (253 nucleotides) under uncultured bacterium. Its description in RNAcentral is "partial 16S ribosomal RNA". It matches the Rfam family "Bacterial small subunit ribosomal RNA", at positions 524 to 776 of the family's 1533-position model. The record is from RNAcentral.
UACGUAGGGUGCAAGCGUUGUCCGGAAUUACUGGGCGUAAAGGGCGCGUAGGCGGCCGUUUGCGUCGGAUGUGAAAGCCCGGGGCUCAACCUCGGAACGGCAUUCGAUACGGGACGGCUGGAGACCGGGAGAGGAGAGUGGAAUAGCCAGUGUAGAGGUGAAAUUCGUAGAUAUUGGCUGGAACACCGGUGGCGAAAGCGGCUCUCUGGCCCGGUUCUGACGCUGAGGCGCGAAAGCGUGGGGAGCAAACAGG